AGAUAAAACAUAGGUGCAGUUCCAAUGAUAUUUUUGGUGCUUUUUUUCAUUCAUAAGGUGAUAUCUGUCUAAAACUUAACGUCACAUUCGGAUCCUCUACCAAAACAUGACUGUGUCGUACAUUUAUUUUUCCAAAAAUGGGAGCUUAACUCCACAUGUUAUAUCAUGAAUGGAAAACAGUUCUAACAUCAUAUAAGCAAUUGUACGUAAGUUUAGUCCUUUAAAAAAAUGCUAAUCUAAAAGAUCGAAUCUCAUUCUCCGUUUGUUCUUCAUUCUAUGUUUUUUUAACAUAUUGUAAAAUUCUACUCCCUCUAUCUCAAAUUAUAAAUCAUUUUCUCUAGACUUACGUACAAUUGCUUAUAUACUGUUAGAACUGUUUUCCCUAAAACCCUAGACCCUAAACCUUAAAUAUAUAUUAUAUAUAAGCUUAAAGAUUUAAGUCUUUUUUAUUUUAAUUUUUGUAAUUGAAUUGUUUUUUUAAAAAAAAAAGAUAAAACAUAGGUGCAGUUCCAAUGAUAUUUUUGGUGCUUUUUUUCAUUCAUAAGGUGAUAUCUGUCUAAAACUUAACGUCACAUUCGGAUCCUCUACCAAAACAUGACUGUGUCGGACAUUUAUUUUUCCAAAAAUGGGAGCUUAACUCCAUAUGUUAUAUCAUGAAUGGAAAACAGUUCUAACAUCAUAUAAGCAAUUGUACGUAAGUUUAGUCCUUUAAAAAAA
This 717-nucleotide long non-coding RNA is filed under the name Lathyrus oleraceus (garden pea). Its description in RNAcentral is "Pisum sativum (pea) long non-coding RNA (PSAT_LNC039797)". Lineage: Eukaryota; Viridiplantae; Streptophyta; Magnoliopsida; Fabales; Fabaceae. The record is from RNAcentral.